CCCAGUUUCAACCUCGAUACCAACACAACCUUCAUCAUCAUCUGAGUCUACUCCAGCUUCUCCUCCAGCAGGAUUUCCAGUUUCCACUGUGAUCACUGUGUCUGUAAUUCUGCUGCUGCUUCUGAUUGGAAUCAUAUUCCUCUUUGUGAUUCUACAUAAGAAAUGCAGGAUACAAGGUCUAGUCUGUUUAAUAUUAUUUACAAACUUCAUCUUUAAGGAGACAUAUUUACUACACUACUUGCUGUUUAAUCAUGUCUGAAUGGUUUCAGAUGCUCGGAGUGUGUGUGUAUGUGUGUGUGUGUGUGUGUCUGUCUGUCUGUGUUGUUAACCUUGUUCAUUAGUCAGUUACAUGUUCAGUAGGAGGAGUAGUUAGUGACACAGUGAUCCUGUCCAUGCUGACCAACAAUGAGCACGGAUGAGAAGAGACAGAAAAUGAACCCAUAAUACAGAUGAAUAAAUACACCACAGGAUUUCCGGCCAUCAUAAAAUCCAAAGCUAAUAAUAACAGAAAUAACAACUACUGACUACUUGGAUGUUUUUUGUUUCAGCAGGUACAGCUUCUAUUGGUGAGAGUUCUGUCCAAGGCUCAGGAAACGACCAAGAGGAGGUUAAAGACACCAGACGCCUGUCUGCCUCAGACGCUGGAAAAAUUUACUGCAAUGUUCAACUACCCACAAUCCCCUCUGAUCCUCCUCAAAAUGUUUAUGCCAACAUGUAGUUGAAACGUUUAUUCUACUGCUCAAUUACCCACAAUCGCUCCUGAUCAGGAAAUCUACUCCACAGCUCAGUUACCCACAAGUCUCUCUGAUUCCUCAGCCAGUGCUGAUCAGCAGUUAGUUGAGGAAUCUGCUGAAGGCCUGAAUUACGCAGCAGCCACCAGCUCUAAUGAUGCAGUUCCAAAGAUGAUCUGUCAGAAGCAAGCGAUAUCAUAUGUCUAUGAUACAGUCAGUCAUGUUAAUUCAUGUGGCUAGUUUAUAAUUAUUAUGUCUCUAAUCAUCACCAUCAUCAUCAUCAUCAUCAUCAUCAUCAUUAUUCCAUCCAUCCAUUCAUCCCAGUCGGUAUUUUUCAUCUUCAGUAACUGCGUCCUGGUCAGGUUUGCAGUAGAUCUGGAGCCUCGGGAACACUGGACGUAAGGCAGGAAUACACCCUGGGAGGAACACCAGUCCAUCGUAGCUUCUGGUAUUUUCUCUAAUUUUACAAUAAGUACAGAUUGCGAUUUUUCUGUAAUAUGAUCACUGCUUGUGGCUAUAUUCAUCUUUGUAUUUUCAUCCAUUUUGAAUAGCUAUAUGAACGUAUGGUAUGUACUGAGUGUAUUGUAUGUGUGGUCUAUGUUAUGUUUGGAAAGAAAUGCUGUAUGUAUUAAAUAUAUGGAGAAUGGUAUGCAUUGUACUGUAUAUAGGAGUAUGAUUUUAAAUAGUAUCUUUACAGAGUGUGAGUGCUAGAAGAAAGAGAGAAGUGGAGACAUUCGUCUUAUCUUAACCCCAAAGUCUCAAAAUCAGCUUGACCCGCUCACUUCACUUUUUGUUCACAUGUUGUUGUUCAUCUUUAUUUUGUCUUAUAGUGACCACACUCAUUACUGCUCUGCGUUCUUAUAUCAGCCAUCCUCAUGCCCUCUGUUUCAUAAUCAAGAAUGUCAUGUAUGCUUAUUCAGAUAAAAGCACAAAGUGUAUUUUUGCCAUUUAAAUGAUUUUUUUUAAAUGUUGAGUUCAUUAUGGACUGUUCACUUUUGAUGUUAUCAGCAGGAUGUUAUGCAAUAAAUAAACUUUCU
Ictalurus punctatus (channel catfish) is the source of this 1768-nucleotide long non-coding RNA. RefSeq lists it as uncharacterized. The record is from RefSeq and is a predicted model, not a curated record. Lineage: Eukaryota; Metazoa; Chordata; Actinopteri; Siluriformes; Ictaluridae. The transcript is spliced from 3 exons.